GUAGAUUCACUAGAAAAUAACCAGUACAGAGAUGGCUUACAACAAACAUAUAUCAGAAAAAGUUUAGAAACUCAAGAUAUACCAAGCCCAAAAUGAGCAUAAACCUAGCACAAACAAAACCAUCUGAAGCCUUGCAGAAGAACAAGGCCAAAAGCCCAGAUAAAACAAGACCUAGGGUCGGUGGUCUCGAUCUGUAGAACUUGACGUGUACAUUGUGAGGAUGGUAACGACUAAAGCACUUCCCACGCCAUCCACGCCGUUGAAGUCUAGGAUGAUGAUGAAUCGCACAAGCAGAGAAGCCAUCCCACUCGAGACAAAAGGAAGCCAACAACGCACAGUCCAAGCAAGGAAGCACCUCCCCAUGCAAGCUUUGCCCAGUGAGGAUUUCUACACAGCCAAAGCAUUACCUCAAUUUCAGAGGCUUCAUGGAGAGGCAAUGCAGGACUCUUCAUAAGGGACUGGACACCACAAAGGCGUUGGUAACAUCCCCCAAAGAACACAUGAAGCCAAAACUGGCUCUCAAGAAACGCCCAACUGCAAAAACAAGAAUUAUUACCACCAUUAACAGCAACAAUCUAGCUACACAGCAGAUCAAAGAACCCUCUCUUUGUAG
RNAcentral lists this unclassified non-coding RNA (613 nucleotides) under Hevea brasiliensis (rubber tree). Lineage: Eukaryota; Viridiplantae; Streptophyta; Magnoliopsida; Malpighiales; Euphorbiaceae. The record is from RNAcentral.